Molecule: long non-coding RNA, 2839 nt
Organism: Osmerus eperlanus (European smelt)
Lineage: Eukaryota; Metazoa; Chordata; Actinopteri; Osmeriformes; Osmeridae
Exons: 2
Source: RefSeq, a predicted model, not a curated record
CUAGUGCUAAAAAGAGAAAUAAAGAACACAUAUACACGUCAACAACGUCAACAACACACCCAGCAAUCACAUAAAUCAUCAAGCAUUUCUAGGUUUUCAACAAUGACUUCACACACAUCCAUGCACAUCGAUGCACAUCAGUACCCGAGAAAAAUCAAGGCUCACAAAAUAGAUCAACUAAGCUUUCAAUUUAAUUCUAAACAUACACGUAAUAACAUUUCACAUGUAGAAAAUAAUAGCAAGAGAAUAAAAAAUGUAUUUAAGCUUCGGACAAAAAGAUUCACUAAGAAGUUGACAGACAACACACUCCAUAGGAAACUUUAAAUCCCCCCUCUGUAUCCAUACCAGAUGGUACAUCCCAUUCCCUCUGCUCCUCUCUCUCCUCCCCUUUUUUACUGUGCCCUCCAUCUCUCAGCUCUCAUUUGUUUGUCCUGAGGACAUUUGCUUGUCCUGCAGACUCCCUCCCGGUAGCAACCUCUUAUCUCCAUCCACCUUGUCAUCUCGGCAGUACUACUGAGGAGUCCAACAGACCUGCUGGUAAAACAACAGUGAACUCCUGAGAGAGAUUCAUCCACUGCUUGACCUCGUCCUAUGGAAACCAAGGCCAAGAGCGGGGCACCCGUGCCCAAGGGUGUCCCUAAAGCAGAGAAGAAGGAGCCUGUUGCCCCCCGUAAGGCAGACCCUGCCCCAGCUGCCCCAGAGGUCGAGAACCCCCCUCCUCCCCCCCAGGAUGGAGCAGCAGAGCAGGAGGCGGCGCCAGAGGGUGGCGAGGAGGAGGUGGCUGCCAGCACAGACUCUCUAGAAUCCCUGAAACCCUUUUUGAUUGGUGGAGCCAUCAUUGCUGCCGGGGCCAUCCUGCUUGGAGUGCUUCUAUUGGCACGGAGAAAUUAGAACCAACCCUUUGUCUUCGUAUGCUAUUGGUCAAUGGGUUAGCUGGUCACUUACUAAUGUGUGUAAUAAUAGACUAUUAAGGCUAUUUGGUAGAGAUGGGGAAUGGGGAGCCACUGUGUUGAUUGUAUUGCUUCCAGUCUGACUUUGCUUGUAGUGAAUAUACCCAUAUCAGUGACGUUUUAAAUUAAAUAUUUUGGUCAAUGAUGGCUAGAUAAUGCCAGUAUACUGCAUGAAUUUGCUCCACCCAUGUGAUUGCACCAUCUUACUCACACUGGUGCAUAGACUUCAGAAAUCAAUACAAGUCAAUCAUAUAGUAGAUGCACACUCAGCAAUACUGAGCUCAUUUACCACUGCCUUACAGUACAUCAACUGGCUUGACCUAUUUAAUCGGAUUUGCACAUCAAAAGAGAAACACAUUCUUAAGCUCUGUAUGUUUUUGCACAAGACAUUUGAUUUGGUCCAAUUUCGAUUGGCAGUCCCUUCUCUCUGACAUUUCACACUAAACACUUGCAAGUAAUAACAGUUGAACACAGGAUGUUGAAUUUUUAAAAUCAAAUUAACAUUGUCUCCUUAUCAACCCUGUCUGGUAGUGGAGUGUUUUUGACAGUAAUUUAUGGUUGUUAGUGUUGACCAUUUCCCAGUCAAAUAUCAGUUUAACCUUAAUUUUCUGUCUGAUAACAGUUAAAGAAUGUCUGAAAGGCUAUCUGAUUCAGGUCAUCUAUAUGUCAGAUGCUGGAUUACUGAGAGGAGCACAUACAAAGACAUUUAGAAACUAAACUUAUUGCCAAACAUGUGCUGUUUUUUAGUGGAGCAGAGGCACACUGUGACCAGAUGUCAUCAAUAUGAAAAGCUUGGUACUCACAACCUCACCACACAUACUAUACAGUAAACAACAUGUACAGUAGACAGGUUUGGUAGAUUAAAGACACACUCUCCAGUCUCCAGAGAGACAGAGGUAACCUGGAACUUCAUCAUUAUGGAAUAUGGAAACAUCCCCAAUUGGAGUCAUAGUUAAUUCUAUAGUUUGUGUUAAGAGUAAAGGGUGCAUGUUAUAACAAUAUAUUGUUAUACUGUAUAAUUAUUAUAAUGUUAUGACGUAGUCUAAUGUUGGCAUUUAUUUUCAAAUUACUGUAAAUUCAUUGUAAUAUAUGUACAAAUUAUUCCCCAAGAGAUUACAUAGGUGGAAUACAAAAAGCUAAAUCUAUUCUCCACCAUUGACAUAUCACAAGUUUUGAGGGUUAUGUAUGAUAUUGGUGUGUUAUUGAAUAUGACAGUUAGACCAAUAUUAUUCUUAUAGUUUAUAUCUUUGACAAUCUACUAAUCCCAGGAGCAGCAUUUUAAAAUGACAUCACAAUGACUCUCAUCAAUCUAAAGUAAAUUGCAAACCAACACAGUUGUAUUUAGUACAAACUUAAGUUAUGCUUGAGGAUUAUCACAACCUUAUAGCUUGCGUUAUGUCAAGUACUACAUUUGAACACAUAAGUAGUCCAAACAUCCUGCAUGAAUACUAGCCUUUAGUUUAAUAUGAUGUAGUAAUCACCCAAACAAAGCAACAGGCGUGUUAUGCCAAAUAACCUUCACAUUUUACUGUAUAACAUACAGAAUUAAACAAAAAAAUCUCUUAUUUUAUUUUCCUUUGAUUCAAGAGCGUAUAAAUGCAAUAAUUCCGGUAGGACUCUUCAUUUCAGCACAUGUUUGGUAAAUCUGUAGCAAUUAAAUUGAUCAGCAGGAUCAACAAGGGUGAUGAUGACGAGGGUGAUGAUAAUGGACAUGGAAUAUGAUGAUGAUGAUGUAGCCUAUUCUUGAUAUUCCCUGUUCCAUGCCACACCUUCCAUUUUACACACUCUCUUCCUGGCCCCCCAAAGCUCAUAAUGAUAAACCCAAAAAGGAAAUGGUUCCCUUGUAACUACAGCUGACCUGUAAUAAAGACAAUGAACCAGUCAGCAUA